Molecule: ribosomal RNA, 876 nt
Filed under: epibiont metagenome
Description: bacterial SSU rRNA
Rfam family: Bacterial small subunit ribosomal RNA (bases 237-876)
Source: RNAcentral
UCCCCCGAGAUUUUUGAACCCCCCCGUUUUGGGGGGGAUGAUUUUGUUGGGUAAUCCGGGGGUUUUGGGGUCCCAAAAGGGAAGGGGUUUUUGGGACCCGUUCUGCCGUUGAAAAUUGCAAAAGCCUUGGGGCCCAACCCGGGUUUGGAUCCCCGGGGUAGGGUCCCCCCGCCUUAACGAUGAAUUUAGUCCGUGGUGUCCUAGGACUCAGUGAUGCAGUAACCCUUAACUUCGCCUGGGAGUCCGGUCGCAAGGAUAAAACUCAAAGGGAAUGGACGGGGACCCGCACAAGUGGUGGAGCAUGUGGUUUAAUUCGAAGAUACGCGAAGAACCUUACCUAGCCUUGACAUAUAUCGGAAUUCUCCAGAAAUGGAGAAGUGCCUUCGGGAGCCGAUAUACAGGUGCUGCACGGCUGUCGUCAGCUCGUGUCGUGAGAUGUUGGGUUAAGUCCCGCAACGAGCGCAACCCUCGUCCUUAGUUGCUAACGGUUCGGCCGAGGACUCUAAGGAGACUGCCUUCGCAAGGAGGAGGAAGGUGAGGACGACGUCAAGUCAUCAUGGCCCUUACGGCUAGGGCAACACACGUGCUACAAUGGGAAGGACAAUGAGAAGCAAUAUCGUGAGGUGGAGCAAAUCUAGAAACCUUCUCUCAGUUCGGAUAGCAGUCUGCAACUCGACUGCUUGAAGCUGGAAUCACUAGUAAUCGUAAAUCAGCUAUGUUACGGUGAAUACGUUCCCGGGUCUUGUACUCACCGCCCGUCACACCAUGGGAGUUGAUUUCACCCGAAGCGGGGAAGCUAAACUGGCUACCCUCCACGGUGGAAUUAGCGACUGGGGUGAAGUCGUAACAAGGUAACCGUAGGAGAACCUGCGGUUG